GUGGUGGCUGCGCUUGCGAGGACCCUGAGGUAGAUUGGGUGGUUUCAACAGGAACGCAUCCACUGUCUGAGAGGUGGCAAUUGAAGCCGGAAGAACAUCUACCAAGAGCAGAGAACCCAGGAAGAAAAUUCUGCCUCUUUAAUACGUUCCAAUAUGGACGUUUUCCAUAUAGAUACCUAUCUAUAUAGAUAGAUGCUCUGGGAUCUGACGGUCCUGGACACC
Molecule: long non-coding RNA, 222 nt
Filed under: Homo sapiens (human)
Lineage: Eukaryota; Metazoa; Chordata; Mammalia; Primates; Hominidae
Description: non-protein coding TMEM161B-AS1:20
Source: RNAcentral